AGUUAUGAAGCUUUAGAUAAGCACAUAUUUUGAAAAUAUGAGAUAAGAGUUAAAUUCUCUUAAUAACUU
Molecule: transfer RNA, 69 nt
Filed under: Coridius chinensis
Lineage: Eukaryota; Metazoa; Arthropoda; Insecta; Hemiptera; Dinidoridae
Description: tRNA-Ser
Rfam family: tRNA
About the family: Transfer RNA (tRNA) molecules are approximately 80 nucleotides in length. Their secondary structure includes four short double-helical elements and three loops (D, anti-codon, and T loops).
Source: RNAcentral